GACGAACGCUGGCGGCGUGCUUAACACAUGCAAGUCGAACGGUAAGGCCCUUCGGGGUACACGAGUGGCGAAUGGGUGAGUAACACGUGGGUGAUCUGCCCUGCACUUCGGGAUAAGCCUGGGAAACUGGGUCUAAUACCGGAUAGGACCCUGGGAUGCAUGUCCCGGGGUGGAAAGCUUUUGCGGUGUGGGAUGGGCCCGCGGCCUAUCAGCUUGUUGGUGGGGUGAUGGCCUACCAAGGCGACGACGGGUAGCCGGCCUGAGAGGGUGACCGGCCACACUGGGACUGAGAUACGGCCCAGACUCCUGUGGGAGGCAGCAGUGGGGAAUGUUGCACAAUGGGCGCAAGCCUGAUGCAGCGACGCCGCGUGAGGGAUGACGGCCUUCGGGUUGUAAACCUCUUUCAGCACCGACGAAGCGCAAGUGACGGUAGGUGCAGAAGAAGGACCGGCCAACUACGUGCCAGCCGCCGCCGUAA
RNAcentral lists this ribosomal RNA (478 nucleotides) under uncultured bacterium. Its description in RNAcentral is "partial 16S ribosomal RNA". It matches the Rfam family "Bacterial small subunit ribosomal RNA", at positions 28 to 523 of the family's 1533-position model. The record is from RNAcentral.